GCCCCGAGGUGGAGGUAGUCGCGUUUCGCUUCUCAUCUUGUCGUGUGAACGACGCUGCAUCGCGGCGGCUGGUAGAAGUGUCGCUGGUGACGGAGGCGAAGACGACGGUGAGGGUGACCGUGCUGCCCGAAGACGAACCAGCCUGCGAGGCGGAGACGCUUCAAGGGGUUGUCUGGCCGCUAACUCGUGUUCAUGAUAACUCAGUACAAGGUUGCCCGUUGGGCUACGUAGGUCAAACUCGUCGCAACUGUUCACAAUCGCAGGAUAACGCCCCUCUAGAUGACGUUCCUAUAGAUGGCGCCCCACUAGAUGAUA
Hyalella azteca is the source of this 315-nucleotide long non-coding RNA. RefSeq lists it as uncharacterized. NCBI's taxonomy places the organism in Eukaryota, Metazoa, Arthropoda, Malacostraca, Amphipoda, Hyalellidae. The transcript is spliced from 3 exons. The record is from RefSeq and is a predicted model, not a curated record.